Molecule: ribosomal RNA, 449 nt
Filed under: uncultured bacterium
Lineage: Bacteria
Description: bacterial SSU rRNA
Rfam family: Bacterial small subunit ribosomal RNA
Source: RNAcentral
AACGAACGCUGGCGGCAUGCCUAACACACGCAAGUCGAACGAAGUCUUCGGACUUAGUGGCGCACGGGUGCGUAACGCGUGGGAAUCUGCCCUUGGGUGCGGAAUAACUUCUCGAAAGGGAUGCUAAUACCGCAUAAUGUCGUAAGACCAAAGAUUUAUCGCCCAAGGAUGAGCCCGCGUAAGAUUAGCUAGUUGGUGGGGUAAAAGCCUACCAAGGCGACGAUCUUUAGCUGGUCUGAGAGGAUGAUCAGCCACACUGGGACUGAGACACGGCCCAGACUCCUACGGGAGGCAGCAGUGGGGAAUAUUGGACAAUGGGCGAAAGCCUGAUCCAGCAAUGCCGCGUGAGUGAUGAAGGCCCUAGGGUUGUAAAGCUCUUUUACCAGGGAUGAUAAUGACAGUACCUGGAGAAUAAGCUCGGCUAACUCCGUGCCAGCAGCCGCGGUAAU